UACAGAGACUGCAAGCGUUAUUCGGAUUCACUGGGCGUAAAGGGUGCGCAGGCGGCCGAGUGUGUGAGGCGUGAAAAGCCCCGGGGGCUUAACCCCCGGAAUUGCACCUCAAACUACACGGCUAGAGCAUUGGAGAGGGUAGCAGAAUUCCCGGUGUAGCGGUGAAAUGCGCAGAUAUCGGGAGGAACACCAAUGGCGAAGGCAGCUCGCUGGGACGGUACUGACGCUGAGACGCGAAAGCGUGGGGAGCAAACAGG
This 257-nucleotide ribosomal RNA is filed under the name uncultured bacterium. RNAcentral describes it as "partial 16S ribosomal RNA". It matches the Rfam family "Bacterial small subunit ribosomal RNA", at positions 524 to 776 of the family's 1533-position model. The record is from RNAcentral.